GCCAGGCACUGCAUACAAAAACAAAGCAAGCUUCUCCCAGAAAGCCUGCCCUGGAUUUUGAACGCUUUGGUGACUACUUUGCUGUAAAAGCAAUAAACUCUCCUCGCUGCUAAUUCAUACUGCGUGGGGUGUAUACAUAAUACUGUAAGAGCUGUGACACGGCAGCAUUUUGCUUCAGAUUCUAGGCUUUGUGUAAGUGUUUUUGAAUGCAGGGAAUAAACAUGGAACUGACAGAGGAAGGGAAAAUCAUUUACCUAUUUUUAGAGACAAAAUAUGGGCACAAUAGAGAGUUUUCAAGUUACCUAAUUUUUGUCAGUAAAACACGUUUGUUUGUUUUAUGUUUUUUUAAUUUGGAUGUGUGACCUUCCCAGAGAGGAUGCUUUUACUCUGCAGCUACCUUCACUGGCCUUUGAUCCAUCAUGAAGCACAGAACAGAGAAAGCUACCCCAGCAGGAGGUGAUACAUGCUAUCUCAACCCAUGAAAGGUGACAGUACACUUCACAUGCAUUUAUAGAUAAAGAUAAAGACUUUCUACAGACAAAUGAGUUUUGAAGCAAGGUUUAUCACGUAGCAUUUCCAUUCUGAGAUACACGGAGCUGGAACACUGUCAUCUGUACAGAGAGCAAGGUUUGUUCUAAAUCAAAAAAAGAGGAUAAAAUGCAGAAAUGUGGUAUGACGUUGAUCUUCAACUGGAACAUCAGAAAAUGCAGUCUAUACAGUUAUGAAACCUGAGAGCAGUGACUAAGCAGUUAAUCUGAAGACUAUCCCUAGAGACGGAAUAUGAUGCUCCUAGACUCCCAACAAAAAAACAGGUGAGAAACCUUUAGGCAUGGGCAGAGAGCAUGGUUUCACAUCCCUGACUGAACUUCUAUGGAGCAUUGAUCUCUGUGAUGCACCGUGUGUGCUACUUUCACCUAAACCCUUUGGAGGGAUGUUGUGUGCCAAAUUCCAUCUGCUCUUUUAACUAUGCUGUAUGGUUUUGUAUUCCCUUCCCCUUUUAAUUUACUGUUUAAUAUGUCUUCCUUGUGCCUUGGACUUGGCGCUUUCCUUGUUAGUGUUCCAACCUUAGCUUCUUAUGUGGUAUCUCCACACAGCAUGACACCUUUUGACCUAGGAUCUCUAUUCCACAGUCUCUAAUGUUCAAUAAAUCCCUGCACUUCACAGCCAGCUCCUUAUCAUUUGAUUUCCAGCUGCCAGGGCCUUAAGAGAUGAGUAGGCCUUCCUGGCCCUCACCCAUGGAACUCUUCUCAUCCCUUGGCCGUGGGCCUCAUUUAAGCUUGAACUUCAGUCUGAGUUACUCUGUGUUUUCUAUCUUUAGUUUUGUUCUCUCUCUCUCUCUCUCUCUCCUUUUUUUUUUUUUUGGUCUUGUCUUUUGGAUGAAUAUUGGACCUAUGUUGUCACCCUGUUUCCGACUCUAUCUGCUGCUCCAAGAUGGCCUCUGGAAACUGACACAGUCUUCUCACAGCUGUACUAUUUGCUGGACAAAUGUCCUGCUGGUUGCACUUCUUUCUCAGCUUUGAUGAACCAGAACCUCUGGAAAUGAAAUAAUAGAAUAAGUACAAUAAUUGAGGUAUAACCAAAUAGUGAAAACAAACUUGCUGUUGUUAAAAACUGAAUGAAUAUGAAAGUAAAAUACAAAAUCACGGUUAAGCUGCUCAUUGUGAAAUUCAUAACAAAAUCCACUGACCAAUUUGCUACUGUUUGAACAAAAUGUCUUUUUAAGACUCAUUAAAAGGAUUGUUGAGAUAGAACAAGAGGAAAUGUUUUCAAGCUUAAAGAAGGUAGAUUUAGGUUAGAUAAAGGGAAAGCCUUUUACAGUGAGGGUGGUGAGGCACUGGCACAGGUUGCCCAGAGGUGUGGUGGAUGCCCCAUCCCUGAAAACUUUCACAAGACAAGGCUGGAUCAAGCCCCGGGCAACCUGAUGUAGCUAUGCAUGUCCCUCUUCAUUGCAGAGGAGUUGGACUAGAUAACCUUUAAAGGUCCCUUCCAACUCUAAAGGUUCUAUUAUUUUAUGAGUCUAAUUUCAGGUGACAUUGAUCUAGCAACACAUAGUUCCAAGACUUGCAGUAUUUCAUUAUAAGGUACUUCGGAUAGAAAUAGAAAAACUCAAAUCUACUGAGUUGACAGUUUUUCUAUUGACCUCUCAAAUUCUUUACAGACAGUUCGCAUUUAACCCCAGUGACAGUUCAGUCCUAUAAGAACCACAAAACUACAUGAUCUUAUCUGUCUGGUUAUCAGUUUUCACAUCAGAUUGACUUAUCAUCUUCAAUUUUUUUUCAUCCUUGAGUCAACAUUUGGGUCAUGUGGAUUUUCUGAUUCUUUCUUUUCUGUCUUUUCCCUCUGUAUGGGAACUGUUGAAUCAUGGCCUGAACCUCUGAUUGACCACCUGAGGCAAGCGCUGAGUCAGCUGCAGGGGCACAGGUGAACGCAAUUUCACCUGAGUGACCGGAAGGAGUGGAGCCUGGCUCCACCCUUCCUAGACCCCAUUUAAGGGCUGACUCCCAAAGAGGAAGGAUCUCUGUCUGGAAAUUGCCCCUCUUGGAGCAGUUCUGCAAGCCCAAGGACAUGGUUUUCAGUUGCGUCCCUACUACCAGCAUUGGAGCCUCCUGCACACCUCCUUAUAGUAAUGAAAGGGAUACUGGUGAGGGUGAGAAGAUCUGUAGUGUCUGCACUGAACAUCUUUCCACUUUGGACAAUCUUAGACUAGCUUUGAGAAGACUUUCUCAUACAAGAAUUUAGUAAUGCCAAAUAAUACUACAGCCUGCAUCUUGCCUUUCUUGUUGCGUUCCAUAGUCCACUUGGCUGACAUCAGUGACCUGAGGAAAAUGUGGUGAAGGCUCCUGGGGACAAACGAGAGGCUGGAUGUGCCUGGAGGGGGGUGUGAGCAGCUGAACACAAAUGAAAUCACCUCAUCAGAAGAGCAUGAUAUGCUUCUGAAGAUCCAUAAAGACACAGGACUGGUGCAUGCAACAGACUCCUUAAGUUCACUGUGCUGUGAUCAGAUCAAGAAGUCGAAGAGAAAUGUUUGCUGUUUGUCUGCAUAUCUGCAGACAUAAAGGGUUUGCAAAAAGCACAGAGGGGAAAAGGGAAGAGAGAGAAAGAACAACAUUUGAAUCCUCUCAUCUCAAGCAUGGAAGUAUGAUGCAGCCAAGGAGAGAAAAGCUAAAGGUUGCCUCUACCUGUCUAUGUGUUCCACUGUUGAGGCUUCUGCCUGUAUGUUGUAAUAUUCUUCCAGUGUUGGAUGAAUAAUGGCAGUGUUGGAUGAGCAAUGGAUGAAGAGGAAAAUUCAUGUACAAUUUAGUCUAUUCUCUAAACAACCAAGAUGUCUAUCCAUAAUGGCAAGAUCCUAAUCAAGGUACAAUAGGUUUGGAAUGGGCACUACUGAAUGGUAAUAGCAGGACACCAGUGUGUCUGACAGAACUCUACAUUUGCUUUUCAUCCAAAGAAAAUGGGUAUAACCACCUUAUGACUACAUUGUAUUACAUCACUUCUGCUGCUGUUCUGGACUAAGAAAAUGCGUAUGAACCGACAGAAUAUUGAAAAUGACUUGAAAAACCCACAACACUUAGAAUAAAUAUUAUCUCUCUGUUCACUGUACUGGAAAUGUGUCAAAAUAUGUAAACAAAAUAGCCUACUGCAUGUAAGGAAGAUGUAUAAGCAUAAGUAACAUGGUCUUUUUUUCGUAUAAAACAAUAAUGUUCUUGGAAUCCUAAAUAGCCAAAUGAUAGUAAGUGAAAAAAAAACCCAGUCUGCUCAAUCAGGUCUCUGCAAAUACAGAGUUGGAUGAAGGCUUAACAUUUCAAUAGGCAUUAAAUAUACAGUUGAUAGAGCACUUGAAAAAGGCAGCUGUAAAUUAUUUCUUACUGUGGCCUAAAUAAGACUCUUACAUUUUGUCUGGAGAAGAGAAUUUCAGUAGUUACCUUAGAUGGGACUGCCUGAACUCAAAGGAAAAAAAAAGAGUUUUAACCAGGACACCUUCUCAUCUUUUGUUUUGGUGAAGGUUAUUUAUGUUCUUAUUAAAUCAUCUAAUAGUAAUCAACUGAGGAACAACAGGAGGCUAAGCAUAUUGGAAAUUAAAGUAGAAAGCAUUAAGGAAAGCUUCCUUAGUGUGUUCGUCAGGCUGCAGAAUUUGGCUUUAAAAUUACAGCAAGCCAAGCAGAGACAAUUUCAAAAAAUCAGAGUGUACAACUGACUUUGCCUGGCUCCAUAUGGGUAGUCACUGAGCCACACACCUUAAAUCCUGGAAGGAUUGUUUCCCAGGCAUGCAAAAAAAGGUGGAGACCUGAGGUAAGAGAUGCUUCACCAGGGAUGAGCUCUAGAACAAGGCAAGUUCUUCAUUUCACCACAACCUCACCCCUGGGCUGAUGGGGAGGUGCAGUUUCAGUGCUUGACUCUUUUUCCUGAUUGACACAUCUGCUCAUUUCAAAGGACUCAAUUAAAUGAGGAGAAAGAUGUGUAAAUGGUUCUCCUAGAAGA
This 4476-nucleotide long non-coding RNA is filed under the name Gallus gallus (chicken). RNAcentral's name for it is "lncRNA (ENSGALG00010018850.1)". The record is from RNAcentral. Lineage: Eukaryota; Metazoa; Chordata; Aves; Galliformes; Phasianidae.